Molecule: ribosomal RNA, 471 nt
Filed under: uncultured bacterium
Lineage: Bacteria
Description: bacterial SSU rRNA
Rfam family: Bacterial small subunit ribosomal RNA
Source: RNAcentral
CACUGUCACUCCUACGGGAGCAGCAGUGGGAAUAUUGCACAAUGGGCGCAAGCCUGAUGCAGCCAUGCCGCGUGUGUGAAGAAGGCCUUCGGGUUGUAAAGCACUUUCAGUCGUGAGGAAGGCGGGUACGUUAAUAGCGUAUUCGUUUGACGUUAGCGACAGAAGAAGCACCGGCUAACUCCGUGCCAGCAGCCGCGGUAAUACGGAGGGUGCGAGCGUUAAUCGGAAUUACUGGGCGUAAAGCGCAUGCAGGUGGUUUGUUAAGUCAGAUGUGAAAGCCCCGGGGCUCAACCUCGGAAUAGCAUUUGAAACUGGCAGACUAGAGUACUGUAGAGGGGGUAGAAUUUCAGGUGUAGCGGUGAAAUGCGUAGAGAUCUGAAGGAAUACCGGUGGCGAAGGCGGCCCCCUGGACAGAUACUGACACUCAGAUGCGAAAGCGUGGGGAGCAAACAGGAUUAGAUACCCUGGUAG